RNAcentral lists this non-coding RNA (29 nucleotides) under Rattus norvegicus (Norway rat). Lineage: Eukaryota; Metazoa; Chordata; Mammalia; Rodentia; Muridae. The record is from RNAcentral.
UCCUAGUUAAAGAGUAGGCCUGGGAAUUA